CCAAAUUAAGAAUAUACCCAAAGUAGUAUGACCUCAGAUGCUAAUCAGGGUCAGGCUUGUAGGUACUUGGACGAGGAUGUGUUGUAUUCACUUAAAAAGAAAAAGAAAAAACUUAGA
RNAcentral lists this ribosomal RNA (117 nucleotides) under Mus pahari (shrew mouse). RNAcentral's name for it is "rRNA (MGP_PahariEiJ_G0032690.1)". The record is from RNAcentral. Lineage: Eukaryota; Metazoa; Chordata; Mammalia; Rodentia; Muridae.